GCCAGUGUCAUUUUUGUGCUGAUGCAGCUUGUGAACUCUGACCCCAGUUGCAUAGUCACAAAAGUGAUCACUGAC
Molecule: microRNA precursor, 75 nt
Filed under: Astyanax mexicanus (Mexican tetra)
Lineage: Eukaryota; Metazoa; Chordata; Actinopteri; Characiformes; Acestrorhamphidae
Description: mir-153 microRNA precursor family
Rfam family: mir-153 microRNA precursor family
Source: Rfam by way of RNAcentral